AAUCAAGGAGGAGGUGAUUAUUUGGUUGUUCAAAAGUAUAAGACAGCCGAUAUGGAAAAAGUAGAGUCAAAAGAGAGAUGGAAAACUAGUACAUUUAACGCAAAAAUUAUACUCAACGAAAAAGAUAAAGCUGACAAUGCAAUAAUAUUAGCAUUUAAUAACUUACAAGAUUUGAUGAUGGAUAAAUUUAUGUGUAAUGAUGAUAAACAAAUUGAAUAUUAUCAAUAAUAAGACUACACAUUUAUUCUAUUUUAAUUUACAUGUUGUAUCACACUUAAAUAAAGUUAUAUGUAUUUGGCAAUUGUGUUAUAUAAAAAAAUGAUGAUAUUAUUAUGUAUAAUCAAAUUAAUAAACAAAUAGCUAUGAUACAUUAAUUAUUAUAUUUUUGAAAUAAAAAGACGAAUCAUUAUGAAA
Long non-coding RNA from Acyrthosiphon pisum (pea aphid), 414 nucleotides. RefSeq lists it as uncharacterized. NCBI's taxonomy places the organism in Eukaryota, Metazoa, Arthropoda, Insecta, Hemiptera, Aphididae. The record is from RefSeq and is a predicted model, not a curated record.